UGGGGUCCUCGUUUUCUUUUGGGAGAAGCAGGUGCCGGCGUUCAGCGGGCGUACGGCGAUGCCGCUCCCAGCCGGCCGGGCCCGCGGCCCCGGCGGAGAUGACGGCAGCGCUUGAAGGCGAUGCUGUUCGCCGGGACCGCGCGGCUGGCGCGCUGCUAACGCCGAGGCGGGGAGCAGCUCCACAGCUCGCUGCCCGCCCCGGAGCCACCGCCUGAGCAGCGCUGUGCCCCAGCCGGGCGCCCGCAGCCUCCUGCUGCCGUGGGGAGCAGCGCCCCGCUCCGGGGCUCCUCGGGGACCGCCGCCUUCCCCGCCGGGUUCUCCGCCGGGUUCCCCGCCGGGUUCCCCGCCGGGUUCCCCGCCGGGUUCCUGCGCCAUCCUCGGGGCUGUCCCGCUCACACGUGCCUGGCCCAGGGAAUGAAUACUGUGUACCCAGACAGCAAUAAACCUUCAGCUGCUGACCACUGACAGAAAUCUAUAGACCACCAGUUUGGGAAACCUCAGCUUUAAACUCUAAAUGAUUCAACAUUUGUUCCCUCUGAUGACACCACACAUCUGGGAAUGAAGAACUUCUUAGAGCUGAUUGGAAAUGGCAUUGCGGAGCUGAAACUUAACUGGAGGAAAUAUAUCUCCUGAAGAAGAAAAUAUAAUGCACUGUAAGGAUCUGUCUUCUGGUGAAAAAUUCAAGCCUAGAGAAAACUUGUCUGCUUUGUUAGGAAGAAUGGGUUGGACAAUUUUCUUCAAUUCCAAAGGAUAUCUGAAUGCCAUGCUGAGCCUAAUCUCUGCAGCAUGCUCUGUGCUUCUCAUCUCUUCCUGAUGCACUGCAUGGUUAUUCUGAAGGGGAGGAUAAAGAAACUGGCCACCAAGAUGGUAAUCACAAGUGGAAAUGAAGAAGAUAAAGGCAGUCAAGAAAAGGAAAGCAAAGAAGAAACCAUCUUGGCAAUGCUUGGAAUUAUUGGGACAAUUCUGAACCUCAUUGUGAUCAUUUUUGUGUAUAUUUAUACAACGUUGUAAACUAGAAGGCAUGCAACUAGACCAGAUGAAAUGGCCAUUAAGAGUGACAACAAACACUGCUGACUAUUGACAAGUUCUUUAAUCAGAAUUGACUCUGUAUUAUAUUAACACAUCAUAAAAGCACUGCCUGAAGGCAGCGAAGACUGAAGCACAAUUAAUUUAAGAAGACUUUUUCACACAGUAAUAAGCUUAACUGUUCUCUUGCCUCUCCCUUUCGGUUUGGUUUUCAGUUUGGGGGAGAAUGACUGCAGUUAUAUAAGUUGUAGCUUUGAAGAAAUCCACCAGGGAUAUGUUGUUUUAACACAAAAAAAAAAAAAAACAAAAAAAUAAGAAAAAAAAAAAAAAAAAAAGAAAGGAAAAGAAAGAAACUGCAACCUAUAUAUAAUUAGAAAUGUAUGCUGUAUACCUGCAAAGAUUGAACUCAAAGAUAGCUUCAUAGCACAGAUCAUGUGUCUGUUAGGUCAAAUGUUUUUUUCUCUUGGUUUUUGCUUUUACUUACAUUGAAUCUGACAAGCUUUUUAUUUAGAAUGAACAUAUGGUGCAAUCAUGAAAAAAAAAAACAAUUCUGUUGAGCAAGUUCUGCCUAAACCUGAUAAAAUGUUGGGAGAAAUACAUUACAUGGUUAUUUUUCCUUUCUCAUUUGCUUAACAUCUGUGUUUGUUCAUACCAAUGUUUAUAAAUAUAUAUUUUUAAUAAAUGUGCUAUAUUUUUAGCAUGAACCAAAUAUUUGGAGACACUUGUAUUCAUGCAGCUAAAUUUUGUUUGAUUAAGUGCCCCUUUUGACAAUGGAUGUUAUUUUUCUCAGCAAUUAUACUGCAGUCUUGUUUGCAGCCCUCUCACUGAGGUCUGAAGCAAGCUAACAUCAUGCUCACAUGCAUGACUUGAAGUUGGAAUGUCAGCUGAAAAGCUUUGCUGCUUAAUAUGGGAAAUCGCAAAACACUGUAAGGUGACCUUUGAAGACUGGUUGCAGAAAGAAGGUUCUAUUUAUAGUUAAAAAAAGGAAAAAGCGAAUGAAAGGGACACCAAGGCAUCUCACAAAAUAUUGCAAAAUUCAUAGAAUUUAUGGCUUUCACUAUCUGGUCAUGCUCUCUAAGUACUUGUGCUGAGAGAAGGGAGCAGAGGUUUAUACAGUUGAAAAGAGAAAUUUAUAGAGCCUAUACUGAGGGGCUUAAGUGAAAUCCAGAUUGUAAAUACAGAGUGUAUUUUAAAUGUGAGGAUUAUUAACUCUUUAUGCUUCUCUGACAUGUGCUUUAACUGAGUCGAUGCAGUGAAAUUCUCUGACUUGUGUUUUUGACAGGAAUGUACAAUGAUGAUCACCAUUUUUCUUCAGAGUUCAGUACCUAUAAAUAUAGAAAGCAUUAAAAAUAUGAGACUUUAAUUCUGCCUCAAGCUGCCUAAGUAAAUUGCCUACUAACUCUAUAUAUCCUUUUGAAAAACAGGUCAAUUAAUUGUUUACUGACUUGUGGUUUGGAUUGUAUCCUCAGAUGCACAAGGAGGAUUGGUAUUGAAGUAAGCUAGAGCUGUGAAAAUUUUAACCUUAGAAUCUUAUUAAUUUUAGUGAUCAGACCUGUCCCUCUGGAAUCAAUAAAUGAGUUUUUCACCAUUUUCCAGGGUCUAGGAAUGAUCUCAAAAAUACACAAUUUCAGUGCAGGUUAUAAAAGAAAGGCUGAAAAAUCCUGAGGGGCAUCUCUUAUAAACAGCGGUAUUUGUCUCUUAUGGUAUCAUGCAGUCAAUAACAAAACCAUUAAGAUUAGAUAAAAGGUCAGUAAAUAAAUUACAAUGCAAUCCAAUAUGAAGACUGAAGGAAAGCAAAGCAAAAAUAAUCUCGUGAAAGAUUUUUUCUUAAUGAAAACAUGACAGGGUGAGAUAGGUGAGAAAAUUAGCAGAGAUUUGAAGUAGAAAACAGCACAGAAAGCCAGUGCCAUGUGUGCCAGCACAGCUGAGGAAACAUUUGUGUUUUCACAGUGCUGCAGGUCUCAGAGAGGACAAGAAACAGUAGUGGUGCAGGACAGUGUAGCUCAGUGAAGAUUAUCUUGUUUCUUAAUUUAUAGUUAUUUAUUGAUAAUUCUAAGGAAUUAGCAAAGUCUACUUUUUGAUCAUCCUGAUGGCUAAAAUAUAUUUUACUCUAGUAGGAAACUUUUUCUUCUGUUUAAACUACUGCUGCUCACAGUCUGUGGCUUUGAGCACCUGCACAUGCUCCAGCUACCAGUCUAACUUCAGCCAUCCCCUUGCCUGCCAGGAUCUUCUCUGCAGAUAUUUCUCUUCAACUUCUUUUUUUCCAGCAAACACCACAGCAAUCUGCCCAAGGCUCAUGCUCAUCUUAUAGAGGGACAUCCUCUGAGUCAAAAGAUGAUGUCUCAUGCCAGAUACUUCUUUGCCUCCCUCUGCAUCAAAUGUUAAUAUAUCUUCUUGGGGGCAUGAAGAUUCUUAAUGAAUGAAAUUUCAUGAGGGGUUCUACUAUUAUUACAAAUUAAAGCUUGAAAAACAGCAUAGGACACCUCACCCACUGAAGCAAAGUAGGAGUUUUUGCUGCUCAGCACAGUUGCACUUAUUCAGACAUGGGCCAGCACCUUCAGCAAGUCAGGAAUGGCAAAUACUCCAAAGAAGCUGAAAUGGUGGAUCAAGGGCCUCAGGAUUCCAUGCUUUCUCUGCCGUAUUUUGCCUGUUAGUCCUGAUGUAGGCAGUGUGUCCAGGUGCAACUAUCACCUCCCACCAGCAGCAGCUGUGUGCAGUGUGCAUUGCCACAGGACUUUGAUUCCUGUGAAAUAGGAAGAAAAGUUUAUCCUAUUCCAUAAAAAGUUUAACAUUUUAUAUUUUAAUUUUACAGGUUUAUGUUCACAGAUAGUUCUAGAAAUAUCUCAGGACAAUUUCUUCUUAAGUAGAUUCAUUAAGGAUUCAUUUAAAUAAAAAUGAAGAGUUUCCUUUGAGGGAAAUUUCUUUACCUUUUAUUUGGUAUUCAUGAACACUGAUAGGGGAACAGCAUGUUUUCAAGAAUGACAGUGGAAGAGGAAUAUUUUAUACAAGAAUCUGAAGUUGUGCCUACCCAGGCAGCUGUGGGCAGGCCUGCUCUUGGCUCAGAGACAGCUGGAGCCAAAUUACCCUCAUGCUUUUUUUAUGUGAGCAGUUUUCAGCAUGCACCUAUAAGAAAUAUUGGACUAGGUAAUAUAUAUGUCAUGGCUACCUUAUAGUCAGUAACUGCUCCAUAAACAGUUGAAUAAAACUUCUCAUUACAAGAGUUGAACGGUAAAUCUGCUUUGGCAAAGAAAAAUCCAACAAUCUCAUUUUUGGCUUGACUUGUAUGUAAUGCAAACAGUUUCCAAAGUAAAUUUUUAAAAAUGAAGUAUUAGUCCAUUUGUGACAGGAACUUUCAUCUUUGCAUUUGAGUAGAAGGAAAUUAAUAUCCAAUAUCAUAAUAAGAUAUUAUUAUUAAUUAGUUCCUUAGUUGCUUCAGGCAACUAAGAAUACAAUUACAUAUCCUAUGUAGUUUGGUGGUCUGUGUCAUGGGAAUGAAACAUAUUUUCAGGAGGUGACAGAAAGAUGACACUGACCCCAUUAUUAUCUGUUGUGUUGGCUGGUGGCUACAGAAAAAAUUUCAAGAAGGGAGAAGAUAAAACUAUUUAUUAUGCACACAACAGAGGACUGGGAGAAAGGAAACAGACAGAUUACUGCCCUCCAAUCUGGUUCCUACAACAGCACUGAAAACUCAACAUCUCGGGAAGCCCAUCUUCAUACAGGAAUGUAUCAUCCUGUGUUGGCUCUCAGGGCAGUCCUUUCAGGAAUGUACCUUCUGCUCCUUCCACCUGCACUCUGCAGCAAUGUGUGGCUCACUGUGCCUGAGGAGAGUUUGAACACAAACCCAGCCUGGCAGCCUCUAGAAGCAGUUGUUUUGUUUUACUGUGGUGUAACAAUCUACUAUGGGCCUGAUUUUUAUAAUUUUAAGGACAGUAGAUCAUGAUCAUCAUGUUACUGUCUGAUAAUCUAGGGGAUACUUCACUUUGUGAAUGCCCAGAUAAAUCCUAACCCUGGCCUACAGGUAAAAUUUUGAUUCAACAGGUAUCAAAAUACAAAAGAAAGCUUCAAUUACAUCCCAACCAAACUUCAAGCAUUGCUUAAUGCGUCUUAUACUUCCAUUUAUCUAUACACUGGAGCUCACCCCAAAUGCCCCAAGAUCUCAUCUGUGUCAAGAGGUCUCAUCUCUUCUGAGUCAGAAUUACCAUUUCUGUGUGAACUAUGGCAUAUGCAGAGAAAUUGGCCAAUAGAGGGAAAGGAUAAAAAUUAACUGAAUUAGAACUACAGGGAGGCAGCACUGCAGAAUUUACUAAUUAGUUUGAUGUCUAGCUGGAGUAUUUUGUUUCCUGAUAGCCAAUAUUUUGGAGAAAAAAUAUUACUAUUCCUUGGAAAGUUUCUGGAAGAAAUAUGUCUAAUUGAAAGAAAGAACUUCAUUGAAAAUAUUUCAGCAGCAGUCCUCCAAAGAAACCACUGACCAGGACUCUGAGUGGCUCACUUCCCGAGAGAAUUUGUUUGGCAGCCCAGGAGCGCAGUGCACAUAAAUGUGAGCACCUCUUGUUUACUGAGAGGCUUUGUCUUCUCUGAAACAGAAUGCACAGAUUUACAAAGGUUUACAAAUUUAUGAAGUAGCGCAUAAUGCGACAUCAGCAACAAAAGAAUCUAUUUACCUUUACUUCCAGCAGAUGCACUGCAGACCUCUGCAGAACCUGCACUGCUUCCAUGCCUGCCUGUGUGUUUUGGAGGCUCAUCCCAGAUCUUAUAAACUCAGUGUAGCUUUCUUUCCCCACCACUGAUCCAAGAGAAACAAAACCUAUUCAGUGUGGAAACCUCCACACCAGACUGAAAUCCCACAUGCUUCCCUAUGCAUUUAUCUGCAUAUGAACCAUCUGGUGUCCAGUAAGACUUUCCUUGUCUCAGGCAUUAGGUUUGCUUAUCUGCAUUUCACCUGGGAGCUCAAACUGUGAAAGGCAAUUUGUAGAGCUGAAAGCACCCAACUGUUUCCAACAAUCUAGCUUUACAUAAUGGAGCUGUCACCUGGAGAGUGCCUGUUCACACCAUGGCACACCACACACCAUCCUCCUUGUGUGCUCCCACACUGACACAGCCUCUGUGACACCCAGGGGGUGGGGCUGGGCUGUAAGUGGCCCACACAGCCAAAAAAGCAUGCAAAUGUUCUGUGCAAAGCCUGGAUCCCAAGCCAAGCUCUGUAGAGGGAAAGGAUAUCCUGCCUUGUUGAUAAAAAGGAACUUCACUAUGCCCACUGGGACCCCUUCUUCUGCAACCAGUCCCAGUUCAGCUGAAGGUGACCCAUGAGCCUCUUGUGGCAGCUGCAGAACUUCCUUCCCCCUGAGGGAAAUAAACAGCUCUGGACUUUCCUAAUCUCCUAGAAUAAGGAACCAUGUCACUCUUGCACGGCAGAAAUAGCAGCAGGAGCAUCCAUUUCUGGCUGACAAUGACAAGGCCACCUGCCUAGGGCACUGAUGGGAGCCCUUUUCCCACCCAUCAUUCCUCACAGUCUGGCAAAUGCAAAUGAAUAACCUGAACUCCAGGUUCUUUUCCACAGACUCAGUCACCAUUCAGACUGAGGCAGACUUCUUUUAUGAUGCUGAGACUUUGUGACUUCAAAUGGCUCCUGAAGCCAACUCUUCAGGAACAUCAUAAAUGUCAUGAUACUUUCAUUUCGCCUUGAUAUCAUGAAGCUGUCACCAUAACAAGCCUUGGGUGCUGUGAGUCUCUGCCAUCAAGGUGUUAAGGGACAAGCAUUAGCAAGGGACACCACAUGGGAGCCAUGGGCAGCCACAGGUAAUGCACUGUGGCUGCUUUCCCCAGCACACACUUCGUGAGGAGCAGUGGUAUUAUGGUGGAUUGAUAUUGGUGGUGGGUAAAUGUAAUAAAAUGUUUGUGCAGCAGGGUGUGACUUCUCACCUUUAUUUCCUGCAUACUUGAUGGAAAAGACUUUAUAAAUAAUUCUGGCUUUGUCAAUUUAAAGUAUGGAUUAAAAUUUAUUAUAUAUGUUUUCAAA
Molecule: non-coding RNA, 7042 nt
Organism: Lonchura striata (white-rumped munia)
Lineage: Eukaryota; Metazoa; Chordata; Aves; Passeriformes; Estrildidae
Source: RefSeq, a predicted model, not a curated record